ACUCCUACGGGAGGCAGCAGUGGGGAAUAUUGCACAAUGGGGAAACCCGUGAUGCAGCCAUGCCGCGUGUGUGAAGAAGGCCUUCGGGUUGUAAAGCACUUUCAGCGAGGAGGAAAGGGUGUAAGUUAAUACCUUACAUCUGUGACGUUACUCGCAGAAGAAGCACCGGCUAACUCCGUGCCAGCAGCCGCGGUAAUACGGAGGGUGCGAGCGUUAAUCGGAAUUACUGGGCGUAAAGCGUGCGCAGGCGGUUUGUUAAGCGAGAUGUGAAAGCCCGC
This 278-nucleotide ribosomal RNA is filed under the name uncultured bacterium. RNAcentral describes it as "partial 16S ribosomal RNA". It matches the Rfam family "Bacterial small subunit ribosomal RNA", at positions 335 to 605 of the family's 1533-position model. The record is from RNAcentral.